CCUACGGGUGGCAGCAGUGAGGAAUAUUGGUCAAUGGGCGCGAGCCUGAACCAGCCAAGUAGCGUGAAGGAUGACUGCCCUACGGGUUGUAAACUUCUUUUAUAAAAGUAUAAUGUGAGACACGUGUGCCUUUUUGUAUGUACUUUGUGAAUAAGGAUCGUCUAACUCCGUCCCAGCAGCCGCGGUAAUACGGAGGAUCCGAGCGUUCUCCGGAUUUAUUGUGUUUAAAGGGAGCGUAGAUGGGUUGUUAAGUCAGUUGUGAAAGUUUGCGGCUCAACCGUAAAAUUGCAAUUGAUACUGGCAGUCUUGAGUACAGUUGAGGUAGGCGGAAUUCGUGGUGUAGCGGUGAAAUGCUUAGAUAUCACGAAGAACUCCGAUUGCGAAGGCAGCUUACUAAACUGCCACUGACAUUGAUGCUCGAAAGUGUGGGUAUCAAACAGGAUUAGAUACCCUAGUAGUC
This 460-nucleotide ribosomal RNA is filed under the name uncultured bacterium. Its description in RNAcentral is "partial 16S ribosomal RNA". It matches the Rfam family "Bacterial small subunit ribosomal RNA", at positions 338 to 795 of the family's 1533-position model. The record is from RNAcentral.